CUGUGUCCUCCACAGCAUCAGCCAAUAACCACAUCUUUCUCAUACAGAAGCCCCUGAGAACACAGCUCCCUCAUCAUGGAUUGGAGCUGGACAAUCCUCUUCUUGGCGGCAGUGACUACAGGUGUCCACUCUGAGGUCCAGCUGGAGCAGUCUGGGGCUGAAGUGAAGAAGCCGGGGGCAUCAGUGAAGAUCUCCUGCAAAGUUUCCGGGGGCGAUUUCAUCAGCGCAUAUACGCAAUGGGUGCGGCAGGCCUCUGGGAAAGGGCUUGAGUGGAUUGGAGGAUAUGAUGCAAUUGAAGGUGAAGCAAAGUACUCACAGAAAUUCCAGGGCAGAGCCACCAUCACCAGCGACGAAUCCACGAGCACAGCCUAUUUGGAGCUGAGUAGUCUGAGCUCUGAGGAUACAGCUGUGUAUUACUGUGCAAUCACACAGUGUGAUAACCACAUCCUGACUGUGUCAGAAACCCUGAUGAAGGAGGCAGCCAUGUCAGAAGGAGGCAGGAGAUGAUAGGGAAAAUUUGGGUGACAACUUCCCUAAAUGAUUGAGAAAAAGAAACAAUAGGAAAUGCAUUCACUAUAAUUAGGUGAGGAACAAGGGUACCCAACGGAACAUACUUAAAUACCACACACAUUUCUACAUUGUGGAUUUCAGGAAUGAGGCACAAAGUUAAUGAAAGUGGAAAUUUUCCAGGCAACAAUUAUCCUGUAAGUAAAAUUCAUAUUCAGGAGAGAGUUUCAAGUGGUUGAGUAUAAAUUUCAAAGUCGGUUGGGUAAUUAUCAUGGAGGACAAUUUUGGGAUUUCGUGGUAACUCUACAUUUAAUUCCAAAAAAAAAAAAAAAAUCUUGCCCUGCUACCUUCCAAAGAAGUUGUAUCAUUUUACGUUACCAUCAGCAAAGAAUGAGAAUUCUUAGCACUCCAAAGUAUUGUCAGAAUACUGUUAACAAUAUUUUGAAUUUUAGUCAUUCUCAUGGACUAUGAAUGCUAUCUCAUGGUUGUAAUUUAUAUUUCCCUGAGGAAUGAUCUCUUUGAAUAUCUUUUUGAGUGAGAUAUUUGUUUAGAACUUAGGUCAAUCUUUUUUUUUAACUUGUUUUCUUUUCUUUAGUUAAGUGUCCUUGUAUAUUCAUGAUACAAGUCAUUUACAAAAUAUACUAUUUUCAAAUAUUUCUCCGGGCCUAUUACUUUUCUUUUCAUUUCCUUAACAAUGACUUUUGCAGAGUGAAAACAAUAUAGUUUUGGUAUUGACCAGUUUAUUAAAUAUUUUUUUCUUUUGUUGUUCAUGUUUUUGAUGGUAAAUCUAAAACUCAUUGUCUGAUCCAAGGUCACUCAAAAUUUUUUCCGUGACUCUAACCACAGAACAUACUAAAGGAAUUGUAAGUUAGAUUUUAUCAUUUUAUGUUGAAAGUAUGUGCAUGAGUCAUUUGGAAUUCUUCUGUAUGAGGUGUUUGUCUCCUUCUCCACAUUAAAAAAAAAAAAAUUCAGUCAUUUGCUUACAUCAGUAUGCAGUCAUGGGUAUUGGUUUUAUAACUUGUGUCAUAAUUCAAUAUUCUGCCAUUUAUUUAGUGUUCAAAAAUUUCCAGCUUGUUUACCUAUUGAGAACUCUUUCAGUUUGGCUCCCAUCAUUUGCCAUCCAUUUA
This is a non-coding RNA of Loxodonta africana (African savanna elephant), 1634 nucleotides long. The record is from the annotation of a RefSeq genome assembly. Lineage: Eukaryota; Metazoa; Chordata; Mammalia; Proboscidea; Elephantidae.